RNAcentral lists this ribosomal RNA (466 nucleotides) under uncultured bacterium. RNAcentral describes it as "partial 16S ribosomal RNA". It matches the Rfam family "Bacterial small subunit ribosomal RNA", at positions 28 to 507 of the family's 1533-position model. The record is from RNAcentral.
GACGAACGCUGGCGGCGUGCUUAACACAUGCAAGUCGAACGGUAAGGCUCCAGCUUGCUGGGGUACACGAGUGGCGAACGGGUGAGUAACACGUGGGUGACCUGCCCUGCACUUCGGGAUAAGCCUGGGAAACUGGGUCUAAUACCGGAUAGGACCAUGGUGUGGAUACUGUGGUGGAAAGUUUUUUCGGUGGGGGAUGGGCCCGCGGCCUAUCAGCUUGUUGGUGGGGUAAUGGCCUACCAAGGCGGCGACGGGUAGCCGGCCUGAGAGGGUGGACGGCCACAUUGGGACUGAGACACGGCCCAGACUCCUACGGGAGGCAGCAGUGGGGAAUAUUGCACAAUGGGCGGAAGCCUGAUGCAGCGACGCCGCGUGGGGGAUGACGGCCUUCGGGUUGUAAACUCCUUUCACCAUCGACGAAGGGUUUCUGACGGUAGAUGGAGAAGAAGCACCGGCUAACUACGUG